UUUAAGUACAACCAUAAGUUUUUGUACCUAACUUUGAUUGUCCGUCUUAUUUGAAAUUUUUUUAUAAUUAGUACUUUGCUCGUGACUUAUGUUUUUAAUUUUUUUUCAAAUUUUUUUUAAAUAAGACGGACGUUCAAAGUUAGGCGCUGAAAACCAUGAUUACACUUAAA
This is a microRNA precursor of Oryza sativa Japonica Group (Japanese rice), 170 nucleotides long. It matches the Rfam family "MIR812 microRNA precursor family". NCBI's taxonomy places the organism in Eukaryota, Viridiplantae, Streptophyta, Magnoliopsida, Poales, Poaceae. The record is from Rfam.